UAGCGAUACGUCUUUAGCGGCGAACGGGUGAGUAACGCGUUGGUGACCUGCCUCGAAGCGUGGGAUAACAGUUCGAAAGGAUUGCUAAUACCGCAUGUGGUUGAAGAGAUUAGAGGCUCAACAACUAAAGGAGAAAUUCACUUCGAGAGGGGCCUGCGUCCCAUCAGCUAGUUGGUAAGGUAACGGCUUACCAAGGCGAUGACGGGUAGGGGACCUGAGAGGGUGGCCCCCCACAAUGGAACUGAAACACGGUCCAUACACCUACGGGUGGCAGCAGUAGGGAAUAUUGCAUAAUGGGCGAAAGCCUGAUGCAGCAACGCCGCGUGUGCGAUGAAGGCCUUCGGGUCGUAAAGCACUUUUCGAGAGGAUGAGGAAGGACAGUACUCUUGGAAUAAGCCUCGGCUAACUCCGUGCCAGCAGCCGCGGUAAUACGGAGGGUCCAAGCGUUGUCCGGAUUUAUUGGGUGUAAAGGGUGUGUAGGCGGGUUUGCAAGUCAGAGGUGAAAUCCUGCGGCUCAACCGUAGAAUUGCCUCUGAUACUGCAGGUCUUGAGUCCUGGAGAGGUUGUCGGAAUUCGUGGUGUAGCGGUGAAAUGCGUAGAUAUCACGAGGAACACCGGUUACGUAGGUGGGCAACUGGACAGGUACUGACGCUGAGGCACGAAAGCGUGGGGAGCAAACAGGAUUAGAUACCCUGGUAGUCCACGCUGUAAACGAUGGACACUCGGUGUCGCUGAUUCGUCGGCGGUGCCUAAGCGAACGCAUUAAGUGUCCCACCUGGGGAGUACGCUCGCAAGGGUGAAACUCAAAGGAAUUGACGGGGGCCCGCACAAGCGGUGGAGUAUGUGGUUUAAUUCGAGGCAACGCGAAGAACCUUACCUGGGUUUGACAUGCAUAGGACGGCUGGUGAAAGCUAGUUUUCCUUCGGGACCUAUG
RNAcentral lists this ribosomal RNA (934 nucleotides) under uncultured bacterium. RNAcentral's name for it is "bacterial SSU rRNA". It matches the Rfam family "Bacterial small subunit ribosomal RNA", at positions 77 to 1032 of the family's 1533-position model. The record is from RNAcentral.